CUGUUGGAGUUGCUAGGUAACAGGCGGAACUCUGUUGGGGUUGCUAGGUAACAGGCGGAACUCUGUUGGGGUUGCUGGGUAACAGGCGGAACUCUGUUGGGGUUGCUAGGUAACAGGCGGAACUCUGUUGGGGUUUCUAGGUAACAGGCGGAACUCUGUUGGGGUUGCUAGGUAACAG
Long non-coding RNA from Xiphophorus hellerii (green swordtail), 178 nucleotides. RefSeq lists it as uncharacterized. Lineage: Eukaryota; Metazoa; Chordata; Actinopteri; Cyprinodontiformes; Poeciliidae. The transcript has 2 exons. The record is from RefSeq and is a predicted model, not a curated record.